UGUGAUAUUUUAUAUAUAAUAAUAUAUAAUAAAUGGUAAAUAGUAGAAUCAGAUACCAGCUAAAAUAAUGCUUAGGGGCUGCUUGGUUUGACGUAAAAUUACGGAAAAAAAAUUUUCGGUGGAAAAAAAAAUUUCGGAGGAAAAUAAAUUUUCGGAGGAAAAUAAAUUUUACACUCUUAGCGUUUGGUUUGUAGAAAAAAAAAAAGUUUUCCGUUACGGUUGUUUGGUUGAAAGAAAAAGAAAGGAAAAGAAGAAAAAAGUUAAUUN
RNAcentral lists this long non-coding RNA (267 nucleotides) under Ananas comosus (pineapple). Its description in RNAcentral is "long non-coding RNA (ACOM_LNC006063)". The record is from RNAcentral. Lineage: Eukaryota; Viridiplantae; Streptophyta; Magnoliopsida; Poales; Bromeliaceae.